AUUGAACGCUGGCGGCAUGCUUUACACAUGCAAGUCGGACGGCAGCACAGAGAAGCUUGCUUCUUGGGUGGCGAGUGGCGAACGGGUGAGUAACAUAUCGGAACGUACCGAGCAGUGGGGGAUAACUAAUCGAAAGAUUAGCUAAUACCGCAUAUCUUCUGAGGAAGAAAGCAGGGGACCAUUUGGCCUUGCGCUGUUUGAUCGUCCGAUAUCUGAUUAGCUAGUUGGUGGGGUAAAGGCCUACCAAGGCGACGAUCAGUAGCGGGUCUGAGAGGAUGAUCCGCCACACUGGGACUGAGACACGGCCCAGACUCCUACGGGAGGCAGCAGUGGGGAAUUUUGGACAAUGGGCGCAAGCCUGAUCCAGCCAUGCCGCGUGUCUGAAGAAGGCCUUCGGGUUGUAAAGGACUUUUGUCAGGGAAGAAAAGGGCGGGGUUAAUACCCCUGUCUGAUGACGGCACCUGAAGAAUAAGCACCGGCUAACUACGUG
RNAcentral lists this ribosomal RNA (490 nucleotides) under uncultured bacterium. RNAcentral describes it as "partial 16S ribosomal RNA". It matches the Rfam family "Bacterial small subunit ribosomal RNA", at positions 30 to 507 of the family's 1533-position model. The record is from RNAcentral.